CAGUAGCCGCGGGAAUACGAAGGGGGCUAGCGUUGUUCGGAUUUACUGGGCGUAAAGCGCACGUAGGCGGACUUUUAAGUCAGGGGUGAAAUCCCGGGGCUCAACCCCGGAACUGCCUUUGAUACUGGAAGUCUUGAGUAUGGUAGAGGUGAGUGGAAUUCCGAGUGUAGAGGUGAAAUUCGUAGAUAUUCGGAGGAACACCAGUGGCGAAGGCGGCUCACUGGACCAUUACUGACGCUGAGGUGCGAAAGCGUGGGGAGCAAACAGGAUUAGAUACCCCUGUAGUCCCUGUCUCUUAUAC
Molecule: ribosomal RNA, 301 nt
Filed under: uncultured bacterium
Lineage: Bacteria
Description: partial 16S ribosomal RNA
Rfam family: Bacterial small subunit ribosomal RNA
Source: RNAcentral